AACAAAGAGGUUUUGCUUUCACACCAAAACACACAGCAUCUCCGCGACAUGCGCCAAACAACUCACUGAAGCCCCACCUUCUUUUUCACGCCUGACUUUGGGCAGGAUUAUGCUGAUAGUGCACGCUGUGACGUAGCGAAAUUAUGGAAGUAAGGUCUGGACUGGAUUAUGGAAGUAAGGUCUGGACUGGAUUAUGGAAGUAAUAUCUGGACUGGAUUAUGGACGUAAUAUCUGGACUGGAUUAUGGAAGUAAGGUCUGGACUGGAUUAUGGAAGUAAUAUCUGGACUGGAUUAUGGACGUAAUAUCUGGACUAGAUUAUGGAAGUAAGGGCUGGACUGGAUUAUGGAAGAAAGGUCUGAAGCAGUGCUCUCUGUUAAAUAAAAUAAAUCCCUUUGGGGAGACUAUGAGCUUUGUGACUUUGCACAUUUUAUACAUGCACAAACACAUACAUUACACAUUUAAUUCUUUAUAACUUUAAUUCUCUAUAACAGAAGCUCUUACAGUAGCACAGGUUUAUAUUAACGCACUCAUUCUAAUACAUUAUCAUUUCUAUAGUAACCACUCAUUCACAGGGAUGUGUACAGCGCACGCUCCACAAAAACGGAUUUAAAAAUGUGUGAAAUCAUUGAUAUGGUGAAGUUUUCUGUUAGGAGAUGUUUAUGUAAUAUUUAUUGAAGGAGUCUCCAGUGUCAGCACUGUGUAACAGUCAGAGGGAAAGCUGAAUGUUUUCCCAUAUCAUCAGCACAGAGGAGUUUACACUUAUGUAACAUGACAAGCAGAGAGAGAGAGAUAUUUCACCAACAUUCCACAACAUUAAAUGUAACUAUAAAUGUAUAAAUAGUAUAUAAUGCUGUUCUUUAAUAAAUAAACAAAUCUAUAAUUGUUGGUAAACUGCUAUGGGGUUAGAGGAAUAAAAUACUUGGGGACGUGCUGUUAUGUUAAAAUAAUCAACUUCAGGGUGGUGACAGUAACUCAUCUAACUGCUAACAUCUUCUUCACACCACUAAUCUAACUUAAUGCUUGUAACUGUAUAGCCAAAUGAUUUCCCACAAUUCACUGCAGUGUGACAUCACAAUCCCACACCUCCACUGUGGACUCCUUUUUCUGAAGCAAGAGGAAGCUGCUCUGAUAUUCUCUUCUCUCUCUCUCUCUCUCUCUCUCUCUCUCUCUCUCUCUCUCUCUCUCUCACACACACACACACACACACACACAC
This is a long non-coding RNA of Ictalurus punctatus (channel catfish), 1214 nucleotides long. Lineage: Eukaryota; Metazoa; Chordata; Actinopteri; Siluriformes; Ictaluridae. The record is from Ensembl.